GUAACGGCGAGUGAAGCGGCAACAGCUCAAAUUUGAAAUCUGGUCCCUAGGGCCCGAGUUGUAAUUUGUAGAGGAUGCUUUUGGUGAGGUGCCGCCCGAGUUCCCUGGAACGGGACGCCACAGAGGGUGAGAGCCCCGUCUGGCUGGCCGCCGAGCCUCUGUAAAGCUCCUUCGACGAGUCGAGUAGUUUGGGAAUGCUGCUCAAAAUGGGAGGUAUAUGUCUUCUAAAGCUAAAUAUUGGCCAGAGACCGAUAGCGCACAAGUAGAGUGAUCGAAAGAUGAAAAGCACCUUGAAAAGAGGGUUAAAUAGUACGUGAAAUUGUUGAAAGGGAAGCGCUUGUGACCAGACUUGGGCGCGGCGGAUCAUCCGGGGUUCUCUCCGGUGCACUUCGCCGCGUCUAGGCCAGCAUCAGUUCGUCGCGGGGGAAAAAGGCUUCGGGAACGUGGCUCCUCCGGGAGUGUUAUAGCCCGUUGCAUAAUACCCUGCGGUGGACUGAGGACCGCGCAUCUGCAAGGAUGCUGGCGUAAUGGUCACCAGCGACCCGUCUUGAAACACGGACCAAGGAGUCGUCUUCGUAUGCGAGUGUUCGGGUGUCAAACCCCUACGCGUAAUGAAAGUGAACGCAGGUGAGAGCUUCGGCGCAUCAUCGACCGAUCCUGAUGUUCUCGGAUGGAUUUGAGUAAGAGCAUACGGGGCCGGACCCGAAAGAAGGUGAACUAUGCCUGUAUAGGGUGAAGCCAGAGGAAACUCUGGUGGAGGCUCGCAGCGGUUCUGACGUGCAAAUCGAUCGUCAAAUAUGGGCAUGG
Molecule: ribosomal RNA, 807 nt
Filed under: Trichoderma harzianum
Lineage: Eukaryota; Fungi; Ascomycota; Sordariomycetes; Hypocreales; Hypocreaceae
Description: partial large subunit ribosomal RNA
Rfam family: Eukaryotic large subunit ribosomal RNA
Source: RNAcentral